RNAcentral lists this ribosomal RNA (253 nucleotides) under uncultured bacterium. Its description in RNAcentral is "partial 16S ribosomal RNA". It matches the Rfam family "Bacterial small subunit ribosomal RNA", at positions 524 to 776 of the family's 1533-position model. The record is from RNAcentral.
UACGGGGGGUGCAAGCGUUGUUCGGAUUUACUGGGCGUAAAGGGUGCGUAGGCGGCGCAAUAAGUCACUUGUGAAAUCUCCGGGCUUAACCCGGAGCGGCCAAGUGAUACUGUCGUGCUAGAGUGCGGAAGGGGCUACUGGAAUUCUCGGUGUAGCGGUGAAAUGCGUAGAGAUCGAGAGGAACACCUGCGGCGAAGGCGGGUAGCUGGGCCGACACUGACGCUGAUGCGCGAAAGCCAGGGGAGCGAACGGG